Molecule: ribosomal RNA, 561 nt
Filed under: uncultured Bacteroidota bacterium
Lineage: Bacteria; Pseudomonadati; Bacteroidota
Description: bacterial SSU rRNA
Rfam family: Bacterial small subunit ribosomal RNA
Source: RNAcentral
CGGGGGCACGGGGGGCCUACCGGGAGGCAGCAGUAGGGAAUAUUGGGCAAUGGGCGAAAGCCUGACCCAGCGACGCCGCGUGAGGGAUGAAGGUCUUCGGAUUGUAAACCUCUUUCAGUAGGGAAGAAGCGAAAGUGACGGUACCUAAAGAAGAAGCACCGGCUAACUAUGUGCCAGCAGCCGCGGUAAUACAUAGGGUGCAAGCGUUGUCCGGAAUUAUUGGGCGUAAAGAGCUCGUAGGUCGUUUGUCGCGUCGAUUGUGAAAAUCUGAGGCUCAACCUCAGACCUGCAGUCGAUACGGGCAAACUAGAGUGUGGUAGGGGAGACUGGAAUUCCUGGUGUAGCGGUGGAAUGCGCAGAUAUCAGGAGGAACACCAAUGGCGAAGGCAGGUCUCUGGGCCAUAACUGACACUGAGGAGCGAAAGUGCGGGGAGCGAACAGGAUUAGAUACCCUGGUAGUCCGCACCGUAAACGGUGGGCACUAGUUGUGGGAACCUUCCACGGUUUCCGCGACGCAGCAAACGCAUUAAGUGCCCCGCCUGGGGAGUACGAUCGCAAGAU